AUCCACAUCGUUCCCCAUUGAGCAAUAAAAUGCGGUUCAAUUACGCGAGGACUCUCGUUUACAAAAGUUAUAGCACCGGUUACAUGAUAUAAAACCUUGACCUCCCUGUAUUCUUCCCAAGGCAUUGGCAUGUUCUCAAGCAAUUUUAGCACAGCAUGUGGCAAGUACUUCAAAGCGCCCAAAUAGGAACGUUUAUCAGCACGAAACUUCCUAGAAGACAUAUCUCCCCUGUCUUUCAUAAUUUUGCGCAGGUGCUCAGGCGGAAGAUCAGCUUUCUCUGUUUGAACAUAACCCUGCUUCCUUUUGACACCAAACUUUGAUUUUUGAGAAGCGCGCCAUUUGCGUGCUCUUUCGUUAAGUUGCUUUUCAAGAUUUCCAGACUGUGCUGGAGUCUUGUUUUUUCUUUUCUUCACAUAACCUGGAGGUGGAGGAGGUGGAGGCUGUGAAGGAGGCUCAAAUCCAGGCGGAGGAGGCGGUGGAGGAGGAUUCCCCGGUGGUAACGACGCCAUUUAGGUAAUGGUAUUUGUCAGCUGAAUUGUGGUAGUGAAUAUUACUUUGUAUGGUGGUGACCCUCGCCAUUAUUUGUGCGUAAUAUUCUUUUGUGCGUUUUAUUUCAUAUUAGGUCUAUGUAGUCUUCUGCUCAUAAUACGUGUUUAAUGUAUAUUUUUUUACACGCUAUACGGGAUUUGAAAAUUCAAAUUUUCUUCGUUAAAAUGCAACACGCUUAAGAAGUUUGUCAACCAAACACCUACCCAUAUCCAAAGGUUAAUUUGAACAUAAUCAUGCUCAAUCGAAUCGCCUUAUAAGAAUUAGUAAAGAUGUAUGUAUUGACAUAAAUUACAUUUUGUUAUAAAAAAGUGUUAUUUGUAAUUAUAAACCUUUAACUAAUUCAGAAAGUAUAAAUUACCAAGUACAACUAGUAUGCAUAAACCAAAAAUUCCUAUUCCUUGAUUUAGUGUUUCAGGUUCAACGGCUUUAGUUGAAAAAAAAAAUUUGAAAAAUAACACCGAGUUAAAUAAGAUUUGUACAGUAUAAGUAAACACAAGUAGUGAUAAAAAAACCCCCCACACUAAGUGAAUGAAAUGGGAAAACUGUGCAAAUUAUCAGAAUUAAAGGGGAGAAAAUAUCACAUAGUAUACAUAUUUCGCCAAAAGAAUAUGGACAAGUAUUAAUGUGCAAAGAUAUUUGACGGUUUUAAGUUAAUUCGAAUUAAAUCAUUGGGUAGUUAAAGAGACGGAAAAAUGAACAAAGUGAAACGUCUCAUGAAUAAAAUUUGGAGAAAAUCAAAUGUAAGAACAUAUUGGUGUUUAAUUUGAGACGGCCAUCCAAAACAUCCAAAGUUAAAACCUUGUUAUAUUGAGCAGACAACAAGUCGUCCAAAUGCAAUUCACACCUUGGGCUCGAAACUUUAACUGUCGGGCUUGUUGCUUCCAGAAUAAAUUUGCCAACUUCAUCGGCUGAUAUAGUAAUAUACAAUUUUUCUUUCUGCGGCAUAUGAGAUAUUGAUACCAAAACUCCUCGGUCAUAGAGUUUAAGAGCUGGGUACUUGAACGACCCAAAGCGAGGAACGCGUCCAGAUUUUCGGAGAUCUCGCAUGUGAAAAUACUGUUUAGAAAAAGGAAUAAGCUUCUUCUUACCCUUCUUUGAUUGUAAUGUUUCCAUAGCUUGUUCAAUGUAUUCGUUAUAACUUUUUAGCUGCGAAUCAAGGAAAGCUCUUUUUUCUCGUAAGUUAAGCAAACUUUGAUGUCCCGCAUCAAGUUCACGCUGUCGUUGCAUCCUUCUUCUCGACUUAUUACGGAUAUCUAGAGCGAUAGAAUUUACCAUAUCUUGGUAAUUAUUCCGUCGGUUUGCAAAUCCAAGCUUUUCCAUUUCCACUAUAUUGCUUAGUGCAGUGUAUUUCAGUUCUGCAAAUGACAUUGAAAAGAUAGAAUCAUCAAACAAAUCAUAAUUCCUUGCAUUCUUUUCAGAUUCUUCUGCCAAUAAAUUUUGCCAUGCUGCUUCGUCUGAAUCUGUAACCGGUUUGACAAGUAUUUCCAAAAGAUUAAGGCCAUUUUGAAUUCGAAUAAUAAAUAAUAUAUAUCUCUUUGUCUGAACAAUAAGAGUCCGUUCCUGAGCAACGGGAUUUUCUAUAGUGCAAAAUUUGGGAUUCAAUUCUAGUUUGACGUCAGUUUCAUCUUGCACAAAGUCAUUGUCUUGCUCUGAAACAGGACCUAAGCUAUUGACAACAGCGCGUAAUGGAUCGUUCACAUCAGGAGGAGCAAUACUAUCUAUGACAUAUGCAAUAGAUGAAUAAAUGCCUAAAAUAUCGUCUCGCUUCAUGUAUAUUACUGGCCGCUUGGUAUUAACAAGGUCUUCAAAAGCAUCGAACUCAAAGUACACCUCUGGAUCAACCACAUCGACAAGCCUUUCUAGCAUCAACAUGGUAUCCUGCUUGGACACCUCAAUAAACUCGGAGAGUGGUCUAAAAAAACCAAGUUGCUUAGAGUCACAGGACUCGAUUGAAAAGAUCUCAGACAAAAUGCUUGACAAUGUGUAAAGGUUUUUUCGUUGAAGAGCUGUAAUAGAGCCAUCAACCAACUUGAAGUUAU
Molecule: long non-coding RNA, 2588 nt
Filed under: Schizosaccharomyces pombe (fission yeast)
Lineage: Eukaryota; Fungi; Ascomycota; Schizosaccharomycetes; Schizosaccharomycetales; Schizosaccharomycetaceae
Source: RNAcentral